Psammomys obesus (fat sand rat) is the source of this 523-nucleotide non-coding RNA. NCBI's taxonomy places the organism in Eukaryota, Metazoa, Chordata, Mammalia, Rodentia, Muridae. The record is from the annotation of a RefSeq genome assembly.
UCAGGCCUGAUUCCUAGGUCUCCUUAUUCAGGGAUCAGCACUGAACAUAGACCACACCAUGGAUUUCCGUCUGAUUUUGGUUUUUCUUGCUGCUCUUUUAAAAGGUGUCCAGUGUGAGGUGCAGCUUGUAGAGUCUGGGGGAGACGUGGUGCAGCCUGGGGGCUCCCUGAAACUUUCCUGUGUAGGCUCUGGAUUCACUUUUACUAGCUACUGGAUGCAUUGGGUCCGCCAGGCUCCAGGGAAGGGCUUGGAGUGGGUUGGAGCAAUUAAUCCAAAUGAUGGUACAACACACUAUGCACCGUCCCUGAAGGACCGAUUCGCCAUCUCCAGAGACAACGCCAAGAGCACUGUUUACCUGCAGAUGAGCAAAGUGAGAGCUGAGGACACGGCCACUUAUUACUGUGCAAGAGACACAAUGAGGGGACCUCGGUGUGGACCCAGACAUGAACCUCACUGUGAGGCCGCUCACGACCGCCAGGGGGCGCACAGCACACAGAGAACACAGGUUCCCCUCAGGAGAUGA